RNAcentral lists this ribosomal RNA (646 nucleotides) under Methylobacterium sp. JC503. Its description in RNAcentral is "bacterial SSU rRNA". It matches the Rfam family "Bacterial small subunit ribosomal RNA", at positions 61 to 752 of the family's 1533-position model. Lineage: Bacteria; Pseudomonadati; Pseudomonadota; Alphaproteobacteria; Hyphomicrobiales; Methylobacteriaceae. The record is from RNAcentral.
GUCGAGCGGGCCCUUCGGGGUCAGCGGCAGACGGGUGAGUAACGCGUGGGAACGUGCCCUUCGGUUCGGAAUAACUCAGGGAAACUUGAGCUAAUACCGGAUACGCCCUUUUGGGGAAAGGUUUAUCUGCCGAAGGAUCGGCCCGCGUCUGAUUAGCUAGUUGGUGAGGUUAUGGCUCACCAAGGCGACGAUCAGUAGCUGGUCUGAGAGGAUGAUCAGCCACACUGGGACUGAGACACGGCCCAGACUCCUACGGGAGGCAGCAGUGGGGAAUAUUGGACAAUGGGGGCAACCCUGAUCCAGCCAUGCCGCGUGAGUGAUGACGGCCUUAGGGUUGUAAAGCUCUUUUCUCCGGGACGAUAAUGACGGUACCGGAGGAAUAAGCCCCGGCUAACUUCGUGCCAGCAGCCGCGGUAAUACGAAGGGGGCUAGCGUUGCUCGGAAUCACUGGGCGUAAAGGGCGCGUAGGCGGCUGAUUUAGUCGAGGGUGAAAGCCCGUGGCUCAACCACGGAAUGGCCUUCUAUACUGGUUGGCUUGAUACCGGAAGAGGACAGCGGAACUGCGAGUGUAGAGGUGAAAUUCGUAGAUAUUCGCAAGAACACCAGUGGCGAAGGCGGCUGUCUGGUCCGGUUCUGACGCUGAGGC